GAACCGAGCGAACGUUGUUCGGAAUCACUGGGCUUAAAGGGCGCGUAGGCGGGCUGUCAAGUCUGGGGUGAAAUCCCGCGGCUCAACCGUGGAACUGCCUCAGAUACUGACGGCCUCGAGGGAGGUAGGGGCGAGCGGAACGGGUGGUGGAGCGGUGAAAUGCGUUGAUAUCACUCGGAACUCCGGUGGCGAAAGCGGCUCGCUGGACCUUUUCUGACGCUGAGGCGCGAAAGCUAGGGGAGCAAACGGGAUUAGAUACCCCGGUAGUCCUAGCCCUAAACGAUGGGUACUGGGUAGUAGACUAGACAUGGGUUUACUGCCGCAGCAAAAGUGCUAAGUACCCCGCCUGGGGAGUAUGGUCGCAAGGCUGAA
RNAcentral lists this ribosomal RNA (372 nucleotides) under uncultured bacterium. Its description in RNAcentral is "bacterial SSU rRNA". It matches the Rfam family "Bacterial small subunit ribosomal RNA", at positions 527 to 898 of the family's 1533-position model. The record is from RNAcentral.